CUACGUGCCAGCAGCCGCGGUAAUACGUAGGUCCCGAGCGUUGUCCGGAUUUAUUGGGCGUAAAGCGAGCGCAGGCGGUUAGAUAAGUCUGAAGUUAAAGGCUGUGGCUUAACCAUAGUACGCUUUGGAAACUGUUUAACUUGAGUGCAAGAGGGGAGAGUGGAAUUCCAUGUGUAGSCGGUGAAAUGCGUAGAUAUAUGGAGGAACACCGGUGGCGAAAGCGGCUCUCUGGCUUGUAACUGACGCUGAGGCUCGAAAGCGUGGGGAGCAAACAGGAUUAGAUACCCUGGUAGUCCACSCCGUAAACGAUGAGUGCUAGGUGUUAGACCCUUUCCGGGGUUUAGUGCCGCAGCUAACGCAUUAAGCACUCCGCCUGGGGAGUACGACCGCAAGGUUGAAACUCAAAGGAAUUGACGGGGGCCCGCACAAGCGGUGGAGCAUGUGGUUUAAUUCGAUGCAACGCGAAGAACCUUACCUGGUCUUGACAU
Molecule: ribosomal RNA, 488 nt
Filed under: uncultured bacterium
Lineage: Bacteria
Description: bacterial SSU rRNA
Rfam family: Bacterial small subunit ribosomal RNA
Source: RNAcentral